RNAcentral lists this ribosomal RNA (781 nucleotides) under uncultured bacterium. RNAcentral describes it as "bacterial SSU rRNA". It matches the Rfam family "Bacterial small subunit ribosomal RNA", at positions 561 to 1341 of the family's 1533-position model. The record is from RNAcentral.
UAAAGCGUGCGUAGGCGGCUGAUUAAGUCGGAUGUGAAAUCCCUGAGCUUAACUUAGGAAUUGCAUUCGAUACUGGUCAGCUAGAGUAUGGGAGAGGAUGGUAGCAAUUCCAGGUGUAGCGGUGAAAUGCGUAGAGAUCUGGAGGAAUACCGAUGGCGAAGGCAGCCAUCUGGCCUAAUACUGACGCUGAGGUACGAAAGCAUGGGGAGCAAACAGGAUUAGAUACCCUGGUAGUCCAUGCCGUAAACGAUGUCUACUAGCCGUUGGGGCCUUUGAGGCUUUAGUGGCGCAGCUAACGCGAUAAGUAGACCGCCUGGGGAGUACGGUCGCAAGACUAAAACUCAAAUGAAUUGACGGGGGCCCGCACAAGCGGUGGAGCAUGUGGUUUAAUUCGAUGCAACGCGAAGAACCUUACCUGGCCUUGACAUACUAGAAACUUUCCAGAGAUGGAUUGGUGCCUUCGGGAAUCUAGAUACAGGUGCUGCAUGGCUGUCGUCAGCUCGUGUCGUGAGAUGUUGGGUUAAGUCCCGCAACGAGCACAACCCUUUUCCUUACUUGCCAGCAUUUCGGAUGGGAACUUUAAGGAUACUGCCAGUGACAAACUGGAGGAAGGCGGGGACGACGUCAAGUCAUCAUGGCCCUUACGGCCAGGGCUACACACGUGCUACAAUGGUCGGUACAAAGGGUUGCUACCUAGCGAUAGGAUGCUAAUCUCAAAAAGCCGAUCGUAGUCCGGAUUGGAGUCUGCAACUCGACUCCAUGAAGUCGGAAUCGCUAGUAA